GACGAACGCUGGCGGCGUGCUUAACACAUGCAAGUCGAACGAUGAACCCGGAGCUUGCUCCGGUGGAUUAGUGGCGAACGGGUGAGUAACACGUGAGUAACCUGCCCUUGACUCUGGGAUAGCUGCGGGAAACUGUAGCUAAUACCGGAUACGACCCUCGGCGGCAUCGCCAGGGGGUGGAAAGAAUUUCGGUCAAGGAUGGACUCGCGGCCUAUCAGCUAGUUGGGGAGGUAACGGCUCACCAAGGCGACGACGGGUAGCCGGCCUGAGAGGGUGACCGGCCACGCUGGGACUGAGAAACGGCCGAGAGUCCUGAGGGAGGCCGGAGUGGAGAAUAUUGGACAAUAGGCGCAACCCUGAUGCACAGACGCCGCGGGCAGGGUAACGGCCUUCGGGUUGGAAACCUCUUUUAGGAGAGAAGAAGCGAAAGUGACGGUACCUGCAGAAAAAGCACCGAAUAACUACGUGCCAGCCGCCGCAGUAA
This 484-nucleotide ribosomal RNA is filed under the name uncultured bacterium. RNAcentral describes it as "partial 16S ribosomal RNA". It matches the Rfam family "Bacterial small subunit ribosomal RNA", at positions 28 to 523 of the family's 1533-position model. The record is from RNAcentral.